UUGUUGAGAGAGCAUAGAAUGACGGAUGUUUGUGAACGUGUGAAUGUGUCCCUUUCCUCGCCCCCAAUGCCAUGCCGGCGCAGGAGAGUGACUGUAUCUCGGCGCGAUCGGCAAUAAGGAACAAUGAACUCAGAAGCAGAGGUCCCCUUUCCGUGCGCAGGGAGCCCAACGCGUCAGAGAUUCCUCAGAAUCAAAUGUCUCUCCACAAAGGAUAUCUCGGCUCUCGCAUCGAUGAAGAACAUAGAGAAAUGCGAUACUUGGUGUGAAUCGCAGAAUCUCGUGACACAUUGUGUCUUAGAACACAAGUUGCGCGCGAGGCCUUUUGGCCGAGCGCACGCCUGUUUGGGAGUCAUGGCACCGCCGUCUGUGCUCCAUGCAAUAUUGGUGCCCCGAGCGAGUAAAUUGGCCCCGUGUGCCCUCGCGCUCAGUCGGCGGAAGAGCGGGUAGUCGGCAAUCGUCGGGCACGACGGGUGUUGGUCGCCGCGAGCGGGAACAGAACGUCGCCCCCGUCGAUGUGGGACGCGCCCUCAAAGAGACCCUAUGUGAUUGUGGCGUCGGGUGAAAGUGCCGCGUCCAUCAACU
RNAcentral lists this ribosomal RNA (582 nucleotides) under Kaempferia angustifolia. RNAcentral's name for it is "eukaryotic LSU rRNA". The stretch from base 197 to 352 matches the Rfam family "5.8S ribosomal RNA". The record is from RNAcentral. Lineage: Eukaryota; Viridiplantae; Streptophyta; Magnoliopsida; Zingiberales; Zingiberaceae.